AUUGAACGCUGGCGGCAUGCUUUACACAUGCAAGUCGAACGGCAGCGCGGGCUUCGGCCUGGCGGCGAGUGGCGAACGGGUGAGUAAUACAUCGGAACGUGCCCAGUAGUGGGGAUAGCUCGGCGAAAGCCGGAUUAAUACCGCAUACGACCUGAGGGUGAAAGCGGGGGAUCUUCGGACCUCGCGCUAUUGGAGCGGCCGAUGGCAGAUUUGCUAGUUGGUGGGGUAAAGGCCUACCAAGGCGACGAUCUGUAGCUGGUCUGAGAGGACGACCAGCCACACUGGGACUGAGACACGGCCCAGACUCCUACGGGAGGCAGCAGUGGGGAAUUUUGGACAAUGGGCGAAAGCCUGAUCCAGCAAUGCCGCGUGUGUGAUGAAGGCCUUCGGGUUGUAAAGCACUUUUGGCGGGAACGAAAAGGACUGUGCCAAUACCACGGUUCGAUGACGGUACCCGCAGAAUAAGCACCGGCUAACUACGUG
RNAcentral lists this ribosomal RNA (483 nucleotides) under uncultured bacterium. Its description in RNAcentral is "partial 16S ribosomal RNA". It matches the Rfam family "Bacterial small subunit ribosomal RNA", at positions 29 to 507 of the family's 1533-position model. The record is from RNAcentral.